This 427-nucleotide ribosomal RNA is filed under the name uncultured bacterium. RNAcentral's name for it is "partial 16S ribosomal RNA". It matches the Rfam family "Bacterial small subunit ribosomal RNA", at positions 355 to 774 of the family's 1533-position model. The record is from RNAcentral.
UGGGGAAUAUUGGACAAUGGGCGAAAGCCUGAUCCAGCCAUGCCGCGUGUGUGAAGAAGGUCUUCGGAUUGUAAAGCACUUUAAGUUGGGAGGAAGGGCAUUAACCUAAUACGUUAGUGUUUUGACGUUACCGACAGAAUAAGCACCGGCUAACUCUGUGCCAGCAGCCGCGGUAAUACAGAGGGUGCAAGCGUUAAUCGGAAUUACUGGGCGUAAAGCGCGCGUAGGUGGUUUGUUAAGUUGGAUGUGAAAUCCCCGAGCUCAACCUGGGAACUGCAUUCAAAACUGACUGACUAGAGUAUGGUAGAGGGUGGUGGAAUUUCCUGUGUAGCGGGGAAAUGCGUAGAUAUAGGAAGGAACCCCAGUGGCGAAGGCGACCACCUGGACUAAUACUGACCCUGAGGUGCGAAAGCGUGGGGAGCAAACA